Molecule: unclassified non-coding RNA, 284 nt
Filed under: rhizosphere metagenome
Description: partial ribosomal RNA internal transcribed spacer region
Source: RNAcentral
GUAGGUGAACCUGCGGAAGGAUCAUUACCGAGUUCUGCGAUUUCGAUCGCAGCCUCCACCCUUGUUUUUUAUCAUGUUGCUUUGGCGGCUGGUGGACGUCUGUGCGCUGUGCCUUCAAGUACGGUGUGCGGGGUCCGUGUGGUCGGGCGGCCUCCUUUGUUACUUUAGUUACAUCGGGCGCUUGGUCCGGCUCUCACCGCCAGAGACCCAAACUCUGAAUACUUUGCAGUCUGAGAAAAAAAACAAAUCAAUCAAAACUUUCAACAACGGAUCUCUUGGUUCUG